Molecule: unclassified non-coding RNA, 848 nt
Filed under: Hevea brasiliensis (rubber tree)
Lineage: Eukaryota; Viridiplantae; Streptophyta; Magnoliopsida; Malpighiales; Euphorbiaceae
Source: RNAcentral
CUGGAACAAGAGUCUUCAUUCAUCCUACAUAUACCACGAUGCCGCAGCUCAUUGGCUAACUGAAACAACCCAAUAUAACUGAAAUGGAUUUCGUUCUGAAUACUAUUUCAUAAUUUCCAAUAGAAAGUAUUAUUGGGGGUUUUGACUUCUGGCAUUAUCAAUGUCAAGUCGUUCACUUAAAAUCACCAUAUACAAUAAGUCACCAUUCAAGUGUUUUCAUUGUGAGCAAGUAAAAGCAAUGCACAAUGAAAUCAAAUAUACAUCUUAAAACAGCACUUCUAACCCAAGUCAUCAAUAGAACAACACAACUCACAACAAAAGAAAUCAGCAGUACCUGACCCCAAUAGCUGUUCCUUUCCCAGCUGUUGGCGAUCUUGUCUUGAAUGCCUGCCAUGCCUGGACACCAUAUUUGCCAGCAUGAGAGGCAGCAGCCACUGCAUUAGCCGCCAUCAAUGGUGCAGCCCAGUGAACUCGGGAGAGACACUUUCUGUGGCGCUACUGCAGUUCAGUGGCAGAACUGACAGGGUUGUUCUCUGUUUGCAUGCAAAAGAAACGGAAAAUGUGAUGAUAGACAGAGAAAUGCAAAGAAAUAUUGAAACGGUGAGAGAUUAGAUAAGAAAAGGUGUUGAUGAUAGUAGUGAGGAAGGUAGUAACGAUGGUCGCGGCAGCUGUAGGGGAACGGAAGGUUAUUUAGAAGUCGCUUGUCCCGAGGAGAUGGAGAAGUUGAAAAGGAAAUGGUGUGGCUGCGGUUAGCCGUUGCGUUGGCGAUAAUAGUUGGCCGUAUAGGGCGGGUUUAGAUACUGUGCUUUCGGCGGUGAGGGGACUAGAGAGAGAGUGGUGAGACGGAA